Escherichia coli LF82 is the source of this 72-nucleotide non-coding RNA. Lineage: Bacteria; Pseudomonadati; Pseudomonadota; Gammaproteobacteria; Enterobacterales; Enterobacteriaceae. The record is from Rfam.
GUAUCCACCAGUAGAACCCUUCGUUGCCCGAAUGCUGGCAGAAACUGUUGGCAGAACGGCAACAUUUUUUUU